Molecule: long non-coding RNA, 651 nt
Filed under: Homo sapiens (human)
Lineage: Eukaryota; Metazoa; Chordata; Mammalia; Primates; Hominidae
Description: ADAM7, ADAMDEC1 and ADAM28 antisense RNA 1
Source: RNAcentral
AGAAUACUACAAGAUAAAGUGAAGAAGAGAUUGCAGAACUAACAACAGCGCUGGGGCCACAGAGACGGGGUUUCACUACGUUGCCCAGGUUGGUCUGGAACUCCAGGACUCACUCAAUCUUCUAGCCUCGGCCUCCCAAGGUGCUGGGAUUACAGGCGUGAGCCACCGUGCCUACUCGAAUGAGGUUUUUGGCAUUGUGCUUGCACUGAAUAAAAGCAAGCAGCUCCAGCUUCUCCGGGCUGCUCUUUGGACACCAGAGCCAGGCAGUCACCUAGCUGCUCUUACAGUGCAUACCUGUGUCUGAAUGGUCAUUUCAUCCAUCUGCCAGCGUCUGCAGGACAGAGCCAGCAGGUGGUGCCCUGUGUGAGGAAUGCUGCAACAGAUUGUGACAAAACCCUCGAGAAUGAAAGUGAAGUGACUGCGCACCCCGCCGUUACCGAGUAAAGGUGCCACAGAGGAGACAAAUAUUUUCCCUGAGCCCUCUCUCCCAAUAUAUUGGAAAAAAUACAAGGGAUACACUACUGUUAUGGGACCCUGUCUUAGUCAAGUGGAAUUAGAAGGGAGCUCUUGACCUGCCCAGUGAUGCAAGAUCAACAAGACAAUCAGUAAGAAACGUACAAACAUUAAGAAGAGCCUAUUCAGAAAAGACAG